UAGCUGUUUCUGCUUCUUUCGUUAUAAGAUAAAUUCUCCUGGAGACAACCUCUCCCACUAAUUGUGUGUUAGCCAUGCAUUUUUAUCUUGAGAGCUGACGCACUGGGCUCUCAAGUGGUGUGGAAAGCAGCCUGUUACAGUGCAGGAUUCAUAAAAGGGCUGGUAUGGUGUGUGAAAGAUAUCUGUGUGCUUAGGCAGGAAACUUUGAUCUACAGAAAAGCCAGAAGACAUCUAGCACACCAGAGUACGGGUGAUCUUCAAAGUGAGCAGUAUACACUCUGGAGCGAUUCUACAAAACCCUUUGGGACAAAUAGCAGAAGAAUCCACAAACCUGCUCUUCUCU
Long non-coding RNA from Phodopus roborovskii (desert hamster), 343 nucleotides. RefSeq lists it as uncharacterized. Lineage: Eukaryota; Metazoa; Chordata; Mammalia; Rodentia; Cricetidae. The transcript has 2 exons. The record is from RefSeq and is a predicted model, not a curated record.